This 407-nucleotide ribosomal RNA is filed under the name Verrucomicrobiota bacterium. RNAcentral describes it as "Verrucomicrobia bacterium partial 16S ribosomal RNA". It matches the Rfam family "Bacterial small subunit ribosomal RNA", at positions 355 to 776 of the family's 1533-position model. Lineage: Bacteria; Pseudomonadati; Verrucomicrobiota. The record is from RNAcentral.
UGGGGAAUAUUGGACAAUGGAGGCAACUCUGAUCCAGCAAUUCUGUGUGUGUGAAGAAGGUUUUAGGACUGUAAAACACUUUUAGUAGGGAAGAAAGAAAUGACGGUACCUACAGAAGAAGCGACGGCUAAAUACGUGCCAGCAGCCGCGGUAAUACGUAUGUCGCGAGCGUUAUCCGGAAUUAUUAGGCUUAAAGGGCAUCUAGGCGGUUAAACAAGUUGAAGGUGAAAACCUGUGGCUCAACCAUAGGCUUGCCUACAAAACUGUAUAACUAGAGUACUGGAAAGGUGGGUGGAACUACACGAGUAGAGGUGAAAUUCGUAGAUAUGUGUAGGAAUGCCGAUGAUGAAGAUAACUCACUGGACAGCAACUGACGCUGAAGUGCGAAAGCUAGGGGAGCAAACAGG